GAUCUUGGUGGUAGUAGCAAAUACUCAAAUGAGAACUUUGAGGACUGAAGUGGGGAAAGGUUCCGUGUGAACAGCAGUUGGACACGGGUUAGUCGAUCCUAAGCCAUAGGGAAACUCCGUUUUAAAGUGCGCUCUCGGGCGCCGCCUGGCGAAAGGGAAACCGGUUAAUAUUCCGGUACCUCGAUGUGGAUUAUCCGCGGCAACGCAACUGAAGGUGGAGACGUCGGCGGGGGCCCCGGGAAGAGUUCUCUUUUCUUCUUAACUGUCUAUCACCCUGAAAUCGGUUUGUCCGGAGCUAGGGUUUAAUGGCAGGUAGAGCAGCACACCUUUGUGCUGUCCGGUGCGCUCUCGACGACCCUUGAAAAUCCGCCGGAAGGAAUGAUUUUCACGCGAGGUCGUACUCAUAACCGCAGCAGGUCUCCAAGGUGAACAGCCUCUAGUUGAUAGAACAAUGUAGAUAAGGGAAGUCGGCAA
This 474-nucleotide ribosomal RNA is filed under the name Astrosyne radiata. RNAcentral describes it as "partial Eukaryotic large subunit ribosomal RNA". It matches the Rfam family "Eukaryotic large subunit ribosomal RNA", at positions 1447 to 1920 of the family's 3401-position model. The record is from RNAcentral. Lineage: Eukaryota; Bacillariophyta; Fragilariophyceae; Cyclophorales; Cyclophoraceae.